AAGUCUUGCUCAUACCGCCCUGGAACUAUACACUGGUGAGCACAGUCGUGUGUGCUGCACAGCUUGGGUACCAGAGCAGAUGCUUCUGCACUGACUGUUCAUGUGGAAGACAGAAUAUGGCAGCUGACACAUUUGUGUCCUUUAUUUCGUGUGACUCAGGCACAAAGGGGUAUUCUCACCUAACUGAUCACAGGAUGACAGUAUGAAAAAGAGGAAAACCAGCUGGAUUAUACUGGCAAAUACCUCAGGAAGGCAGAGCUAAUUGCUCCAAUUAUUAUGGGAGAGCCAGGCAACUACAUAGCAUGCAAAAAAGGAAAACCCUGGAAGAGUUCAUUAAAGAUUAUGUAAACGAAGAGUGCAUAUCACUAGUAUAUCAUCUUGCAGAGUUCCGUAAGUAUGUGUGCAUCAUCAGACUUUGAAAUAGUACAAAUCUAUUCCUUCUGCUCGGUUGUGGAAAUACAUCUACAGAGGCUUUAUUGGAAUAUUCUGCAAUUUUCUGUCCAGGUUCAGUCAUUUAUACAGAGAGAGAGUUUCUUACUUGCAGGACUUCAUUUUACUACACUCAAAGGAUGAUGCUCAAAGGACCACUGGAAAUGUCAGAAAGUGAGCCUCUGAGCCAUGGCAGAACUGUGUAGAGAAGUUUUUGGUAUUCAGGACACGGACUGGAUGGGAAUUUUUUUUAAAAAAGUAAAAAACCAACUCUCUUGGAAGAUGUGGGUGGGGACCCAUUCUGUUUCUAUACAAAGUUUAUAAUCUUCUGAUUGAAAAUCCUAACAACGACGCCAAGCACAGAGGAUGACAAGCACUGUGAGUACUCAUUCAUUCCAAAAAAUACUGAAGGAGUGAAGCCAGGCCAUGCUUACAGAUAUGUUCGUCUUUCCUAAAAGAGUCUUUGUUCGAGAUGAAUCUCAAUAUCUGUGAUCCUAGAGGAAUGAUACUUUGCAUGUGUAUAGCAUCUUCAAAAUUAGAAGAUCCAAAAUUUCCUUAUAGUAAACUAUUUCCAUUAAAAUGCUAUUUAUAUAUCUCUCUUCUACUAGAAAUAAUGGCAGCUUGGGCUUACCUAGUAAAUUCACACUUUUGAAAUAUAUGAAAAUAAUUUUCCCCAUAUAUUUCUUAAUUUGAUAAAUAGUUGGUAGGUGGAAAUACCAUCUGGGAUCUAUUGACUGAGCAGUUUCAUAGGGCAGAUAGACCAAUCAUGAUCUACAACUGAAUCAAGUGUAUUAAUCAUGUGCUUUUAAU
Harpia harpyja (harpy eagle) is the source of this 1239-nucleotide long non-coding RNA. RefSeq lists it as uncharacterized. The transcript has 4 exons. NCBI's taxonomy places the organism in Eukaryota, Metazoa, Chordata, Aves, Accipitriformes, Accipitridae. The record is from RefSeq and is a predicted model, not a curated record.